Molecule: ribosomal RNA, 484 nt
Filed under: uncultured bacterium
Lineage: Bacteria
Description: bacterial SSU rRNA
Rfam family: Bacterial small subunit ribosomal RNA
Source: RNAcentral
GACGAACGCUGGCGGCGUGCCUAACACAUGCAAGUCGAGCGGUUCAGAUUUGGCAGCAAUGUUGGAUCUGGAUAGCGGCGGACGGGUGAGUAACGCGUGGGCAACCUGCCUUUCACAGGGGGAUAACACAGGGAAACUUGUGCUAAUACCGCAUAACAUCAUGAGAGGGCAUCCUUUUAUGAUCAAAGGAGCAAUCCGGUGAAAGAUGGGCCCGCGUCCGAUUAGCUAGUUGGUGGUGUAACGGACCACCAAGGCGACGAUCGGUAGCCGAACUGAGAGGUUGAUCGGCCACAUUGGGACUGAGACACGGCCCAGACUCCUACGGGAGGCAGCAGUCGAGAAUAGUCUACAAUGGCCGGAAGGCUGAUAGUGCGACGCCGCGUGAACGAGGGAGCCCUUCGGGGUGUAAAGUUCUUUUCUAUACGAGCAGUGCUAUAUAUAUGGAUAGUAUAUAUAGAGGGAUAGUAGUAUAGGAAUAAGCAAC